UAAGGAAUAUUGGACAAUGGCCGCAAGGCUGAUCCAGCCAUGCCGCGUGCAGGAUGAAGGUGCUCUGCAUUGUAAACUGCUUUUGUUCGGGAAUAAACCCUUUCACGUGUGAGAGGUUGAAUGUACCGAAAGAAUAAGGGACGGCUAACUUCGUG
This 155-nucleotide ribosomal RNA is filed under the name uncultured bacterium. RNAcentral describes it as "partial 16S ribosomal RNA". It matches the Rfam family "Bacterial small subunit ribosomal RNA", at positions 355 to 507 of the family's 1533-position model. The record is from RNAcentral.